RNAcentral lists this ribosomal RNA (643 nucleotides) under Salmonella enterica subsp. enterica serovar Berta. RNAcentral describes it as "partial 23S ribosomal RNA". It matches the Rfam family "Bacterial large subunit ribosomal RNA", at positions 1 to 684 of the family's 2925-position model. Lineage: Bacteria; Pseudomonadati; Pseudomonadota; Gammaproteobacteria; Enterobacterales; Enterobacteriaceae. The record is from RNAcentral.
GGUUAAGCGACUAAGCGUACACGGUGGAUGCCCUGGCAGUCAGAGGCGAUGAAGGGCGUGCUAAUCUGCGAUAAGCGCCGGUAAGGUGAUAUGAACCGUUAUAACCGGCGAUACCCGAAUGGGGAAACCCAGUGUGAUUCGUCACACUAUCAUUAACUGAAUCCAUAGGUUAAUGAGGCGAACCGGGGGAACUGAAACAUCUAAGUACCCCGAGGAAAAGAAAUCAACCGAGAUUCCCCCAGUAGCGGCGAGCGAACGGGGAGGAGCCCAGAGCCUGAAUCAGCAUGUGUGUUAGUGGAAGCGUCUGGAAAGGCGCGCGAUACAGGGUGACAGCCCCGUACACAAAAGCGCAUGUGCUGUGAGCUCGAUGAGUAGGGCGGGACACGUGGUAUCCUGUCUGAAUAUGGGGGGACCAUCCUCCAAGGCUAAAUACUCCUGACUGACCGAUAGUGAACCAGUACCGUGAGGGAAAGGCGAAAAGAACCCCGGCGAGGGGAGUGAAAAAGAACCUGAAACCGUGUACGUACAAGCAGUGGGAGCACAGGUUUACCUGUGUGACUGCGUACCUUUUGUAUAAUGGGUCAGCGACUUAUAUUCUGUAGCAAGGUUAACCGAAUAGGGGAGCCGGAGGGAAACCGAGUCU